AGAACGAACGCUGGCGGCAUGCCUAACACAUGCAAGUCGAACGGGACCUUCGGGUCUAGUGGCGCACGGGUGCGUAACGCGUGGGAACCUGCCCUUAGGUUCGGAAUAACAGUUGGAAACGACUGCUAAUACCGGAUAAUGUCUUCGGACCAAAGAUUUAUCGCCUAUGGAUGGGCCCGCGUUGGAUUAGCUUAGUUGGUGGGGUAAAGCCUACCAAGGCGACGAUCCAUAGCUGGUCUGAGAGGAUGAAUCAGCCACACUGGGACUGAGACACGGCCCAGACUCCUACGGGAGCAGUAGUGGGAAUAUUGGACAUGGGCGAAAGCCUAGAUCCAGCGAAUGACCGCGUAGAGUGAUGGAAGGCCUUAGGGUUAGUAAAGGUCUUCCUUUUACGUGGGGUAUUCGGUAAUUAA
RNAcentral lists this ribosomal RNA (413 nucleotides) under uncultured soil bacterium. RNAcentral's name for it is "bacterial SSU rRNA". It matches the Rfam family "Bacterial small subunit ribosomal RNA", at positions 26 to 463 of the family's 1533-position model. The record is from RNAcentral.